RNAcentral lists this ribosomal RNA (253 nucleotides) under uncultured bacterium. RNAcentral's name for it is "partial 16S ribosomal RNA". It matches the Rfam family "Bacterial small subunit ribosomal RNA", at positions 524 to 776 of the family's 1533-position model. The record is from RNAcentral.
UACGUAGGGUGCGAGCGUUGUCCGGAUUUAUUGGGCGUAAAGGGCUCGUAGGCGGCCUGUCGCGUCGGGAGUGAAAGCCCACUGCUUAACGGUGGGUCUGCUUCCGGUACGGGCGGGCUGGAGUAUGGCAGGGGAGACUGGAAUUCCUGGUGUAGCGGUGGAAUGCGCAGAUAUCAGGAAGAACACCCGUGGCGAAGGCGGCUCUCUGGGACGGUACUGACGCUGAGACGCGAAAGCGUGGGGAGCGAACAGG